CCCUCCCCUGCCUCCCCUCACGGCCCCCGCACCGCCCGUCCCCAGCGGCUGCCACAGCCGGAGCCCACUCACCCGCUGCCGCCGUGUCGCUGCUGGGGUCGUCGCGCAGCUGCGUCCCGGUGAGGCGGCGGAUGCCGGAGCUGCCCGCCUCCUCCAGGGCUGAGAAGGAGAGGGCGAGGCCCAAAGGUCACCUGCUCCAGUUGCUUCAGAGCAUCGCUUGUCUGGAAAACAGGAGAAAAAACAAGCGAAGAAUCUCCAUGGCAGAACUGGAAGAACAGUUUUGUUCCCUUCUGUUUUCUCAAGAAGACAAUUUUCAAAUUAAAGGGAAAAUUCCAGGUAUUUUCUGGCUAUCAAGGAAUUACAGAAUCAUAGAAUAUCCUGAGUUGGAAGGAACCCACAAGGAGCAUCGAUAUCCAACUCCUGGCUGGCCUUAG
This 434-nucleotide long non-coding RNA is filed under the name Cyanistes caeruleus (blue tit). Its description in RNAcentral is "lncRNA (ENSCCEG00000016942.1)". The record is from RNAcentral. Lineage: Eukaryota; Metazoa; Chordata; Aves; Passeriformes; Paridae.